CGUAAACAACCUGCCUUCAGGAUGGGGACAACAGACGGAAACGACUGCUAAUACCGAAUAAGUUCCAAGAGCCGCAUGGCCCAUGGAAGAAAAGGUGGCCUCUACCUGUAAGCUAUCGCCUGAAGAGGGGUUUGCGUCUGAUUAGCUGGUUGGAGGGGUAACGGCCCACCAAGGCGACGAUCAGUAGCCGGUCUGAGAGGAUGAACGGCCACACUGGAACUGAGACACGGUCCAGACUCCUACGGAGCAGCAUG
Molecule: ribosomal RNA, 254 nt
Filed under: uncultured bacterium
Lineage: Bacteria
Description: partial 16S ribosomal RNA
Rfam family: Bacterial small subunit ribosomal RNA
Source: RNAcentral